UGCAGAAAUGUGUAUAUUUAAUGCUGUGC
This 29-nucleotide non-coding RNA is filed under the name Mus musculus (house mouse). The record is from RNAcentral. Lineage: Eukaryota; Metazoa; Chordata; Mammalia; Rodentia; Muridae.